This 696-nucleotide ribosomal RNA is filed under the name uncultured Bacteroides sp. RNAcentral's name for it is "bacterial SSU rRNA". It matches the Rfam family "Bacterial small subunit ribosomal RNA", at positions 32 to 715 of the family's 1533-position model. The record is from RNAcentral. Lineage: Bacteria; Pseudomonadati; Bacteroidota; Bacteroidia; Bacteroidales; Bacteroidaceae.
AACGCUAGCUACAGGCUUAACACAUGCAAGUCGAGGGGCAGCAUUAACGGAAGCUUGCUUUUGUUAGAUGGCGACCGGCGCACGGGUGAGUAACGCGUAUCCAACCUGCCAUAUACAGAGGGAUAGCCUUGCGAAAGUAAGAUUAAUACCUCAUGGUUUACGAUGACCGCAUGGUUGUUGUAAUAAAGAUUUAUCGGUAUAUGAUGGGGAUGCGUCCCAUUAGAUAGUCGGCGGGGUAACGGCCCACCGAGUCGACGAUGGGUAGGGGUUCUGAGAGGAAGGUCCCCCACAUUGGAACUGAGACACGGUCCAAACUCCUACGGGAGGCAGCAGUGAGGAAUAUUGGUCAAUGGGCGCGAGCCUGAACCAGCCAAGUAGCGUGAAGGAUGAAGGUCCUACGGAUUGUAAACUUCUUUUAUAAGGGAAUAAAGUCACCCACGUGUGGGUGUUUGUAUGUACCUUAUGAAUAAGCAUCGGCUAACUCCGUGCCAGCAGCCGCGGUAAUACGGAGGAUGCGAGCGUUAUCCGGAUUUAUUGGGUUUAAAGGGAGCGUAGACGGGUCGUUAAGUCAGCUGUGAAAGUUCGGGGCUCAACCUUAAAAUUGCAGUUGAAACUGGGAUUCUUGAGUGCAGUUGAGCUGGAUGGAAUUCGUGGUGUAGCGGUGAAAUGCUUAGAUAUCACGAAGAACUCCGAUUG